This 447-nucleotide ribosomal RNA is filed under the name uncultured bacterium. RNAcentral's name for it is "bacterial SSU rRNA". It matches the Rfam family "Bacterial small subunit ribosomal RNA", at positions 29 to 521 of the family's 1533-position model. The record is from RNAcentral.
AACGAACGCUGGCGGCAUGCCUAACACAUGCAAGUCGAACGAGACCUUCGGGUCUAGUGGCGCACGGGUGCGUAACGCGUGGGAAUCUGCCCUUGGGUUCGGAAUAACUCAGAGAAAUUUGAGCUAAUACCGGAUGAUGACGAAAGUCCAAAGAUUUAUCGCCCAGGGAUGAGCCCGCGUAAGAUUAGCUUGUUGGUGGGGUAAUGGCCUACCAAGGCGACGAUCUUUAGCUGGUCUGAGAGGAUGAUCAGCCACACUGGGACUGAGACACGGCCCAGACUCCUACGGGAGGCAGCAGUGGGGAAUAUUGGACAAUGGGCGCAAGCCUGAUCCAGCAAUGCCGCGUGAGUGAUGAAGGCCUUAGGGUUGUAAAGCUCUUUUACCAGGGAUGAUAAUGACAGUACCUGGAGAAUAAGCUCCGGCUAACUCCGUGCCAGCAGCCGCGGU